UGGUGACUUACCUGGCCUUGUUGCCAUCCC
RNAcentral lists this non-coding RNA (30 nucleotides) under Mus musculus (house mouse). The record is from RNAcentral. Lineage: Eukaryota; Metazoa; Chordata; Mammalia; Rodentia; Muridae.